AACGAACGCUGGCGGCAUGCCUAACACAUGCAAGUCGAACGAGACCUUCGGGUCUAGUGGCGCACGGGUGCGUAACGCGUGGGAACCUGCCCUUAGGUUCGGAAUAACUCCCCGAAAGGGGUGCUAAUACCGGAUAAUGUCUUCGGACCAAAGAGUUAUCGCCUUUGGAUGGGCCCGCGUUGGAUUAGCUAGUUGGUAGGGUAAAAGCCUACCAAGGCGACGAUCCAUAGCUGGUCUGAGAGGAUGAUCAGCCACACUGGGACUGAGACACGGCCCAGACUCCUACGGGAGGCAGCAGUGGGGAAUAUUGGACAAUGGGCGACAGCCUGAUCCAGCAAUGCCGCGUGAGUGAUGAAGGCCUUAGGGUUGUAAAGCUCUUUUACCCGGGAUGAUCAUGACAGUACCGGGAGAAUAAGCUCCGGCUAACUACGUG
This 433-nucleotide ribosomal RNA is filed under the name uncultured bacterium. Its description in RNAcentral is "partial 16S ribosomal RNA". It matches the Rfam family "Bacterial small subunit ribosomal RNA", at positions 29 to 507 of the family's 1533-position model. The record is from RNAcentral.